RNAcentral lists this transfer RNA (77 nucleotides) under Chloroflexota bacterium. RNAcentral describes it as "Chloroflexi bacterium tRNA-Arg". It matches the Rfam family "tRNA". Rfam says of the family: Transfer RNA (tRNA) molecules are approximately 80 nucleotides in length. RNAcentral also lists the same sequence under 1 other name. The record is from RNAcentral. Lineage: Bacteria; Bacillati; Chloroflexota.
GCCCCUGUAGCUCAGGCGGAUAGAGCAACGGUUUCCUAAACCGUGUGUCGCCGGUUCGAGUCCGGCCAGGGGUACCA